GAAGAAGUGAAUUAAGGGCAUUUGGUGGAUGCCUUGGCAUGCACAGGCGAAGAAGGACGUGAUACGCUGCGAAAAGCCGUGGGGAGCUGCGAAUAAGCUUUGAUCCAUGGAUCUCCGAAUGGGGCAACCCACCUUAAAUGCUUGGAAAAUCCAGUCUGUUUUAACGAACGGCCUGGG
RNAcentral lists this ribosomal RNA (177 nucleotides) under Agrobacterium tumefaciens. RNAcentral describes it as "partial 23S ribosomal RNA". It matches the Rfam family "Bacterial large subunit ribosomal RNA", at positions 1 to 179 of the family's 2925-position model. Lineage: Bacteria; Pseudomonadati; Pseudomonadota; Alphaproteobacteria; Hyphomicrobiales; Rhizobiaceae. The record is from RNAcentral.